RNAcentral lists this ribosomal RNA (372 nucleotides) under uncultured organism. RNAcentral describes it as "partial 16S ribosomal RNA". It matches the Rfam family "Bacterial small subunit ribosomal RNA", at positions 527 to 896 of the family's 1533-position model. The record is from RNAcentral.
GUAGGUGGCAAGCGUUGUCCGGAAUUAUUGGGCGUAAAGCGCGCGCAGGGCGGUCCUUUAAGUCUGAUGUGAAAGCCCACGGCUCAACCGUGGAGGGUCAUUGGAAACUGGGGGACUUGAGUACAGAAGAGGAAAGCGGAAUUCCAAGUGUAGCGGUGAAAUGCGUAGAGAUUUGGAGGAACACCAGUGGCGAAGGCGGCUUUCUGGUCUGUAACUGACGCUGAGGCGCGAAAGCGUGGGGAGCAAACAGGAUUAGAUACCCUGGUAGUCCACGCCGUAAACGAUGAGUGCUAAGCGUUAGGGGGUUUCCGCCCCUUAGUGCUGCAGCUAACGCAUUAAGCACUCCGCCUGGGGAGUACGGCCGCAAGGCUG